RNAcentral lists this ribosomal RNA (253 nucleotides) under uncultured bacterium. RNAcentral describes it as "partial 16S ribosomal RNA". It matches the Rfam family "Bacterial small subunit ribosomal RNA", at positions 524 to 776 of the family's 1533-position model. The record is from RNAcentral.
GACGGAGGAUGCAAGCGUUAUCCGGAAUGAUUGGGCGUAAAGCGUCCGCAGGUGGCAGUUCAAGUCUGCUGUCAAAGACCGGGGCUUAACUUCGGAAAGGCAGUGGAAACUGAACAGCUAGAGUAUGGUAGGGGCAGAGGGAAUUCCUGGUGUAGCGGUGAAAUGCGUAGAUAUCAGGAAGAACAUCGGUGGCGAAGGCGGGUCUCUGGGCCGAUACUGACGCUGAGGAGCGAAAGCGUGGGGAGCGAACAGG